This 271-nucleotide ribosomal RNA is filed under the name uncultured prokaryote. RNAcentral describes it as "partial 16S ribosomal RNA". It matches the Rfam family "Bacterial small subunit ribosomal RNA", at positions 524 to 794 of the family's 1533-position model. The record is from RNAcentral.
UACGUAGGUGGCAAGCGUUGUCCGGAUUUACUGGGCGUAAAGGGAGCGUAGGUGGAUAUUUAAGUGGGAUGUGAAAUACCCGGGCUUAACCUGGGUGCUGCAUUCCAAACUGGAUAUCUAGAGUGCAGGAGAGGAAAGGAGAAUUCCUAGUGUAGCGGUGAAAUGCGUAGAGAUUAGGAAGAAUACCAGUGGCGAAGGCGCCUUUCUGGACUGUAACUGACACUGAGGCUCGAAAGCGUGGGGAGCAAACAGGAUUAGAUACCCUGGUAGU